Molecule: unclassified non-coding RNA, 331 nt
Filed under: Hevea brasiliensis (rubber tree)
Lineage: Eukaryota; Viridiplantae; Streptophyta; Magnoliopsida; Malpighiales; Euphorbiaceae
Source: RNAcentral
GAAAGCGCUACUAGCAAAAGUUCCCGCGAAGGAUAUAUCGAAUUUAGCUUUGCUAUCGGUCACCAUUCCUAUCCGCAGAGAAGCAAGUAAAAUGAGAAAAACAGAGGGGCCGAUUAGACAAAAGACAGAAAGGAGAAAGGAAAGUGAGAUUGGUGCAAAUCGAAUCUCCGGAAGAGUGAGGAGUGUACAGGCCCGCAGGCUGUGCAACUGGGUCCUUUUCCUGUCCUGCGUUUUGCGGUUGUUUUUUGCUUCUGCUGUUCUUCGUCAUCGACCAUUUAUUCUUGUUUGCUCCACUGGCCGCGACUCGUAGCCGUAGGCCGCAGCACCAUUU